GUGACGGUACCUACAGAAGAAGCACCGGCUAACUACGUGCCAGCAGCCGCGGUAAUACGUAGGGUGCGAGCGUUAUCCGGAAUUAUUGGGCGUAAAGAGCUCGUAGGCGGUUUGUCGCGUCUGUCGUGAAAGUCCGGGGCUUAACCCCGGAUCUGCGGUGGGUACGGGCAGACUAGAGUGCAGUAGGGGAGACUGGAAUUCCUGGUGUAGCGGUGGAAUGCGCAGAUAUCAGGAGGAACACCGAUGGCGAAGGCAGGUCUCUGGGCUGUAACUGACGCUGAGGAGCGAAAGCAUGGGGAGCGAACAGGAUUAGAUACCCUGGUAGUCCAUGCCGUAAACGUUGGGCACUAGGUGUGGGGACCAUUCCACGGUUUCCGCGCCGCAGCUAACGCAUUAAGUGCCCCGCCUGGGGAGUACGGCCGCAAGGCUAAAACUCAAAGGAAUUGACGGGGGCCCGCACAAGCGGCGGAGCAUGCGGAUUAAUUCGAUGCAACGCGAAGAACUUACCAGUCUUGACAUCCUCUGAAAACCCUAAGAUAGGGCUUCUCCUUCGGGAGCAGAGUGACAGGUGGUGCAUGGUUGUCGUCAGCUCGUGUCGUGAGAUGUUGGGUUAAGUCCCGCAACGAGCGCAACCCUUGAUCUUAGUUGCCAUCAUUAAGUUGGGCACUCUAAGGUGACUGCCGGUGACAAACCGGAGGAAGGUGGGGAUGACGUCAAAUCAUCAUGCCCCGUUAUGACCUGGGCUACACACGUGCUACAAUGGACGGUACAAAGAGCUGCAAGACCGCGAGGUGGAGCUAAUCUCAUAAAACCGUUCUCAGUUCGGAUUAGUAGCGCAUGAAACUCGCCUACAUGAAGCUGGAAUCGCUAGUAAUCGAGGAUCAGCAUGCCGCAGGUGAAUACGUUCCCGGGCCUUGUACACACCAGACACGUCACACCAAGAGAG
RNAcentral lists this ribosomal RNA (946 nucleotides) under Micrococcus sp. UST040911-037. RNAcentral's name for it is "bacterial SSU rRNA". It matches the Rfam family "Bacterial small subunit ribosomal RNA", at positions 469 to 1410 of the family's 1533-position model. The record is from RNAcentral. Lineage: Bacteria; Bacillati; Actinomycetota; Actinomycetes; Micrococcales; Micrococcaceae.